Molecule: ribosomal RNA, 253 nt
Filed under: uncultured bacterium
Lineage: Bacteria
Description: partial 16S ribosomal RNA
Rfam family: Bacterial small subunit ribosomal RNA
Source: RNAcentral
UACGUAGGGGGCUAGCGUUGUCCGGAAUUAUUGGGCGUAAAGAGCGCGUAGGCGGGUUCGCAAGUCAGGGGUGAAAUCUUUCAGCUUAACUGGAAAACAGCCCCUGAUACUGCGAGUCUCGAGGGAGGUAGGGGCAUGUGGAACUUCCGGUGGAGCGGUGAAAUGCGUAGAUAUCGGAAGGAACGCCGGUGGCGAAAGCGACGUGCUGGACCUCUUCUGACGCUGAGGCGCGAAAGCUAGGGGAGCAAACGGG